RNAcentral lists this ribosomal RNA (497 nucleotides) under uncultured bacterium. RNAcentral's name for it is "partial 16S ribosomal RNA". It matches the Rfam family "Bacterial small subunit ribosomal RNA", at positions 28 to 507 of the family's 1533-position model. The record is from RNAcentral.
GAUGAACGCUGGCGGCGUGCCUAAUACAUGCAAGUCGAGCGAACGGACGAGAAGCUUGCUGCUCUGAUGUUAGCGGCGGACGUGUGAAUAACACGUGUAUCACCUACCUAUAAGACUGGGAUAACUUCGGGAAACCGGAGCUAAUACCGUAUAAUAUUUUGAACCGCAUGGUUCAAAAGUGAAAGACGGUCUUUCUGUCACUUCUAGAUGGAUCCGGGCUGCAUUAGCUAGUUGGUAAGUGAACGGCUUACCAAGGCAACGAUGCAUAGCCGACGUGUGAGGGUGGUAGCCGACAUGGGAGCGGGAACAGGGACCAGACUACUGAGGGAGGCCGCAGUCGGGAAUCUUCCGCAGUGGGCGAAAGCAUGGCGGAGCAACGCCACGCGUGAGAUGACGGUGCUGGGUUCGUGAAACUCUGUUAUUAGGGAAGAACAUAUGUGUAAGGAACUGUGCAGAGCUUGACGGUACCGGAUCAGAAAGCCACGGCUAACUACGUG